GAUGAACGCUAGCGGGAGGCUUAACACAUGCAAGUCGAGGGGCAGCAUAGGGUAGCAAUACUCUGAUGGCGACCGGCAAACGGGUGAGUAACGCGUAUGCAACCUACCCUGUACAGGGGGAUAACCCGGAGAAAUUCGGACUAAUAUCCCGUAAUAAUAUCCGGAGGCAUCUUUGGAUAUUUAAAGUUCCGACGGUACGGGAUGGGCAUGCGUAACAUUAGCUGGUUGGUAAGGUAACGGCUUACCAAGGCUAUGAUGUUUAGGGGUCCUGAGAGGGUGGUCCCCCACACUGGUACUGAGACACGGACCAGACUCCUACGGGAGGCAGCAGUGAGGAAUAUUGGUCAAUGGGCGCAAGCCUGAACCAGCCAUCCCGCGUGCAGGAAGACGGCCCUAUGGGUUGUAAACUGCUUUUCCAGGGAGAGAAACUUACGCACGUGUUGCGUGACUGACGGUACCCUGGGAAUAAGCAUCGGCUAACUCCGUGCCAGCAGCCGCGGUAAAACUCAACGUGUACG
Molecule: ribosomal RNA, 518 nt
Filed under: uncultured bacterium
Lineage: Bacteria
Description: bacterial SSU rRNA
Rfam family: Bacterial small subunit ribosomal RNA
Source: RNAcentral